AUUGAACGCUGGCGGAAUGCUUUACACAUGCGAGUCGAACGGCAGCACGGACUUCGGUCUGGUGGCGAGUGGCGAACGGGUGAGUAAUACAUCGGAACGUGCCCAGUCGUGGGGGAUAACGUAGCGAAAGCUACGCUAAUACCGCAUACGAUCUAAGGAUGAAAGCGGGGGAUCGCAAGACCUCGCGCGAUUGGAGCGGCCGAUGGCAGAUUAGGUAGUUGGUAGGGUAAAGGCCUACCAAGCCGACGAUCUGUAGCUGGUCUGAGAGGAUGAUCGGCCACACUGGGACUGAGACACGGCCCAGACUCCUACGGGAGGCAGCAGUGGGGAAUUUUGGACAAUGGGCGCAAGCCUGAUCCAGCCAUUCCGCGUGCAGGAUGAAGGCCUUCGGGUUGUAAACUGCUUUUGCACAGAACGAAAAGGCUCUGGUUAAUACCCGGGGCUCCUGACGGUACUGUAAGAAUAAGCACCGGCUAACUACGUGCCAGCCGCCGCAGUAA
Molecule: ribosomal RNA, 500 nt
Filed under: uncultured bacterium
Lineage: Bacteria
Description: partial 16S ribosomal RNA
Rfam family: Bacterial small subunit ribosomal RNA
Source: RNAcentral